RNAcentral lists this ribosomal RNA (362 nucleotides) under Bombina orientalis. Its description in RNAcentral is "partial 12S ribosomal RNA". It matches the Rfam family "Bacterial small subunit ribosomal RNA", at positions 968 to 1533 of the family's 1533-position model. The record is from RNAcentral. Lineage: Eukaryota; Metazoa; Chordata; Amphibia; Anura; Bombinatoridae.
ACCUCACCACUUCUUGCCAAUACCGCCUAUAUACCACCGUCGCCAGCCCACCCCGUGAGGGAAAUAGUAGGCACAAUGAUAAGUCACCAAAACGUCAGGUCAAGGUGUAGCGUAUGAAGUGGGAAGAAAUGGGCUACAUUCUCUAACCUAGAGCACACGAAAAAUCAUAUGAAAUUAGAUCAGAAGGAGGAUUUAGUAGUAAAAAGAAACAAUAGUGUUCUUUUUAAGUUGGCCCUGGGGCGCGCACACACCGCCCGUCACCCUCUUCAACUAAUAAAACACGAUUUAUAAAACAUAAAACAUUCUCUUUUAAGAGGUAAGUCGUAACAUGGUAAGUAUACCGGAAGGUGUGCUUGGAAUUA